RNAcentral lists this ribosomal RNA (380 nucleotides) under uncultured eukaryote. RNAcentral's name for it is "partial 18S ribosomal RNA". It matches the Rfam family "Eukaryotic small subunit ribosomal RNA", at positions 592 to 976 of the family's 1831-position model. The record is from RNAcentral.
CAAUAGCGUAUAUUAAAGUUGUUGCAGUUAAAAAGCUCGUAGUUGGAUUUGUGGCGUACGGUGUGUUCCGGGCACUUGUUGUCUGAGUAACCUGCUGUUGCCAUCCUUGGGUGGAACCUGUGUGGCAUUAGGUUGUCGUGCAGGGGAUGCCCAUCAUUUACUGUGAAAAAAUUAGAGUGUUCAAAGCAGGCUUAUGUCGUUGAAUAUAUUAGCAUGGAAUAAUGAGAUAGGACUUUUUUGCUAUUUUGUUGGUUUGCGCAAAGAGGUAAUGAUUAAUAGGGACAGUUGGGGGUAUUCGUAUUCCAUUGUCAGAGGUGAAAUUCUUGGAUUUUUGGAAGACGAACUACUGCGAAAGCAUUUACCAAGGAUGUUUUCAUUAA